GUACACGCUGUGACUAGCAUAUCAAUAAGCGGAGGAAAAGAAACUAACAAGGAUUCCCCUAGUAACGGCGAGUGAAGCGGGAAGAGCUCAAAUUUGAAAUCUUAAAGGGUUUCCCUUUACGAAUUGUAGUUCAAAGAAGUGUUUUCUGUUGAGGUUUUGGUAAAAGUUCUUUGGAAUAGGACAUCAUAGAGGGUGAGAAUCCCGUAUUUGACCUUUACUUUCAACUUUGUGAUACACUUUCAAAGAGUCGGAUUGUUUGGGAAUGCAGUCCAAAAUGGGUGGUAAAUUUCAUCUAAAGCUAAAUAUUGGCGAGAGACCGAUAGCGAACAAGUACCGUGAGGGAAAGAUGAAAAGAACUUUGAAAAGAGAGUUAAACAGUACGUGAAAUUGUCAAAAGGGAAGCGUUUGACACCAGUGUUGUUUUUCUGAAAAUCAAUUAAAGAACUGUUUAUGCUAAGUUGUUUAGACUUUAUCAGCUAACUGUUUAGUUUUGAGCUUUUCUUUAAUGCACUUUUCAGUUAACAAGUCAACAUCAAUUUCUUUUGCUGUAAAAAAGCUUGAGGAAGGUGGCUUGAGAUUCGUCUUAAGUGUUUAUAGCCUCUUGCCUAUGCAGUCGGAGAGAUUGAGGUCUGCAGCGUAGAUCCUUCGGGGCUAAAUGCAUUUGUGCUAAGUUAUAGCAUUUUAUAGACAACUUGUUGACUAUGAUUUGUCUUGUAGCUUACUCGCUUAUGUUAUUUUACCUACGCUUAGGAUGUUGAGUCGUAGAGCACGCA
This 773-nucleotide ribosomal RNA is filed under the name uncultured Neocallimastigales. RNAcentral describes it as "partial large subunit ribosomal RNA". It matches the Rfam family "Eukaryotic large subunit ribosomal RNA", at positions 22 to 605 of the family's 3401-position model. The record is from RNAcentral. Lineage: Eukaryota; Fungi; Neocallimastigomycota; Neocallimastigomycetes; Neocallimastigales.